This 389-nucleotide ribosomal RNA is filed under the name uncultured bacterium. RNAcentral describes it as "bacterial SSU rRNA". It matches the Rfam family "Bacterial small subunit ribosomal RNA", at positions 29 to 412 of the family's 1533-position model. The record is from RNAcentral.
AGUGAACGCUGGCGGCAGGCCUAACACAUGCAAGUCGAACGACAGCACAGCAGUAGCAAUACUGUGGGUGGCGAGUGGCGGACGGGUGAGGAAUACAUCGGAAUCUACCUUGUCGUGGGGGAUAACGUAGGGAAACUUACGCUAAUACCGCAUACGAACUAUGGUUGAAAGCGGCGGACCGCAAGGCGUCGCGCGAUUGGAUGAGCCGAUGUCCGAUUAGCUAGUUGGCGGGGUAAAGGCCCACCAAGGCGACGAUCGGUAGCUGGUCUGAGAGGAUGAUCAGCCACACUGGAACUGGGACACGGUCCAGACUCCUACGGGAGGCAGCAGUGGGGGAAUAUUGGACAAUGGGCGCAAGCCUGAUCCAGCCAUGCCGCGUGUGUGAAGAA